GUUUUUAUAGUUUAAAAUAAAACAUUGGUCUUGUAAACCAAAAAUAAGUAAAUUCUUUUAAAACU
This 65-nucleotide transfer RNA is filed under the name Obeidia gigantearia. Its description in RNAcentral is "tRNA-Thr". It matches the Rfam family "tRNA". Rfam says of the family: Transfer RNA (tRNA) molecules are approximately 80 nucleotides in length. Lineage: Eukaryota; Metazoa; Arthropoda; Insecta; Lepidoptera; Geometridae. The record is from RNAcentral.